RNAcentral lists this ribosomal RNA (649 nucleotides) under uncultured Acetobacteraceae bacterium. Its description in RNAcentral is "bacterial SSU rRNA". It matches the Rfam family "Bacterial small subunit ribosomal RNA", at positions 94 to 773 of the family's 1533-position model. The record is from RNAcentral. Lineage: Bacteria; Pseudomonadati; Pseudomonadota; Alphaproteobacteria; Acetobacterales; Acetobacteraceae.
AGUGGCGGACGGGUGAGUAUCGCGUAGGGAUGUGUCGUUUGGGUGGGGGAUAGCCUUGGGAAACCGGGGGUAAUACCGCAUGACGCCUGUGGGCCAAAGGUCGCGAGACCGCCUGACGAGCAGCCUGCGUCCGAUUAGCUAGUUGGUUGGGUAAUGGCUGACCAAGGCUGUGAUCGGUAGCUGGUCUGAGAGGAUGAUCAGCCACACUGGGACUGAGACACGGCCCAGACUCCUACGGGAGGCAGCAGUGGGGAAUAUUGGACAAUGGGCGCAAGCCUGAUCCAGCAAUGCCGCGUGGAUGAAGAAGGUCUUCGGAUUGUAAAGUCCUUUCGGCGGGGACGAUGAUGACGGUACCCGCAGAAGAAGCCCCGGCUAACUUCGUGCCAGCAGCCGCGGUAAUACGAAGGGGGCUAGCGUUGCUCGGAAUGACUGGGCGUAAAGGGCGCGUAGGCGGACUGCUUAGUCAGGCGUGAAAGUCCUGGGCUCAACCUGGGGAUUGCGCUUGAUACGGGUGGUCUAGAGUUGGAAAGAGGGUCGUGGAAUUCCCAGUGUAGAGGUGAAAUUCGUAGAUAUUGGGACGAACCCCGGUGGCGAAGGCGGCGACCUGGUUCUUGACUGACGCUGAGGCGCGAAGGCGUGGGGAGCAAAC